This 829-nucleotide ribosomal RNA is filed under the name uncultured bacterium. RNAcentral describes it as "bacterial SSU rRNA". It matches the Rfam family "Bacterial small subunit ribosomal RNA", at positions 8 to 827 of the family's 1533-position model. The record is from RNAcentral.
AGAGUUUGAUCAUGGCUCAGGAUGAACGCUAGCUACAGGCUUAACACAUGCAAGUCGAGGGGCAGCAGGGAGGAUGCUUGCAUUCUCCGCUGGCGACCGGCGCACGGGUGCGUAACGCGUAUCGAACCUGCCUCAUACUCGGGAACAGCCUUGCGAAAGUAAGAUUAAUGCCCGAUGUUCUGUGAGUCCCGCAUGAGACUUACAGCAAAGAAAUUCGGUAUGAGAUGGCGAUGCGUCCCAUUAGCUAGUUGGCGGGGUAACGGCCCACCAAGGCAUCGAUGGGUAGGGGUUCUGAGAGGAAGGUCCCCCACAUUGGAACUGAGACACGGUCCAAACUCCUACGGGAGGCAGCAGUGAGGAAUAUUGGUCAAUGGACGGAAGUCUGAACCAGCCAAGUAGCGUGCAGGAUGACGGCCCUCCGGGUUGUAAACUGCUUUUAGUUGGGAAUAAAGUGCGGUACGUGUACCGUUUUGUAUGUACCAUCAGAAAAAGGACCGGCUAAUUCCGUGCCAGCAGCCGCGGUAAUACGGAAGGUCCAGGCGUUAUCCGGAUUUAUUGGGUUUAAAGGGAGCGCAGGCGGACUUUUAAGUCAGUUGUGAAAUACGGCGGCUCAACCGUCGGACUGCAGUUGAUACUGGAAGUCUUGAGUUCGCACAGAGAUGCUGGAAUUCAUGGUGUAGCGGUGAAAUGCUCGGAUAUCAUGAAGAACUCCGAUCGCGAAGGCAGGCAUCUGGGGCGUUACUGACGCUGAGGCUCGAAAGUGCGGGUAUCAAACAGGAUUAGAUACCCUGGUAGUCCGCACAGUAAACGAUGGACACUCGCAGCCGGC